RNAcentral lists this ribosomal RNA (253 nucleotides) under uncultured bacterium. Its description in RNAcentral is "partial 16S ribosomal RNA". It matches the Rfam family "Bacterial small subunit ribosomal RNA", at positions 524 to 776 of the family's 1533-position model. The record is from RNAcentral.
CACGUAGGGUGCGAGCGUUGUCCGGAAUUAUUGGGCGUAAAGAGCUCGUAGGCGGUUUGUCGCGUCUGCCGUGGAAGUCCGGGGCUCAACUCCGGAUCUGCGGUGGGUACGGGCAGACUAGAGUGAUGUAGGGGAGACUGGAAUUCCUGGUGUAGCGGUGAAAUGCGCAGAUAUCAGGAGGAACACCGGUGGCGAAGGCGGAUCUCUGGGCCAUUACUGACGCUGAGGAGCGAAAGCGUGGGGAGCGAACAGG